Molecule: ribosomal RNA, 793 nt
Filed under: uncultured archaeon
Lineage: Archaea
Description: bacterial SSU rRNA
Rfam family: Archaeal small subunit ribosomal RNA
Source: RNAcentral
ACUGCUCAGUAACACGUGGACAACCUACCCUAUGGAGGGGGAUAACCCCGGGAAACUGGGGAUAAUACCCCAUAGACUAUGAAUGCUGGAAUGCUUUGUAGUUGAAAGGUCCGCCGCCAUAGGAUGGGUCUGCGGCCGAUUAGGUUGUUGUUGGGGUAACGGCCCAACAAGCCUGUAAUCGGUACGGGUUGUGGGAGCAAGAGCCCGGAGAUGGAUUCUGAGACAUGAAUCCAGGCCCUACGGGGCGCAGCAGGCGCGAAAACUUUACAAUGCGGGAAACCGUGAUAAGGGGACACCGAGUGCCAGCAUCAUAUGCUGGCUGUCCGGAUGUGUAAAAUACAUCCGUUAGCAAGGGCCGGGCAAGACCGGUGCCAGCCGCCGCGGUAACACCGGCGGCCCGAGUGGUGAUCGUGAUUAUUGGGUCUAAAGGGUCUGUAGCCGGCCGGAUAAGUCUCUUGGGAAAUCUGGCAGCUUAACUGUCAGGCUUUCAGGAGAUACUGUCUGGCUCGAGGCCGGGAGAGGUGAGAGGUACUUCAGGGGUAGGGGUGAAAUCCUAUAAUCCUGGGAGGACCACCUGUGGCGAAGGCGCCUAACUGGAACACGCCUGACGGUCAGGGACGAAAGCUGGGGCAGCGAACCGGAUUAGAUACCCGGGUAGUCCCAGCUGUAAACGAUGCUAGCUAGGUGUUGGGUCGGCCACGCGCCGCCCCAGUGCCGCAGGGAAGCCGUUAAGCUAGCCGCCUGGGGAGUACGGCCGCAAGGCUGAAACUUAAAGGAAUUGGCGGGGGAGCAG